RNAcentral lists this small RNA (566 nucleotides) under Pan troglodytes (chimpanzee). RNAcentral describes it as "processed transcript". Lineage: Eukaryota; Metazoa; Chordata; Mammalia; Primates; Hominidae. The record is from RNAcentral.
GAAGAGAGUGGAAACUUCAGUUGGGGCUUGAUGAUGGGAACGUGGAUUAGUUUCCCCAGAGAACCUUUACUUCCGUUGUAUUUUAAGACCCACUGGAUGUAGCAUUAAUGGGAAACAGUCUUCUUUGGUCCCUGGGGGAAAUCCCGGGGUCACUUUGGAACUUCUUGGGUGAAGCACUACUGUACAUAUCAACGGGAUUCCAAACAAAUCACCAUGGUACCAUUUGACCAAAAGUCAGGAGGAAAAGGGGGAGAAGAUGAAUCAGUUACCCUCAAAUCCUGCACACGGCGGAAAACAGACUCCAUUGAGAAGAGGUUUUGCUUUGAUGUGGAAGCAGUAGACAGUGGAGACGGAAUUUCACUGUGUUGGCUAGGCUGGUCCUGAACUCCUGACCUCAAGUGAUCCACCCACCUUGGCCUCCCAAAGUGCUGGGAUUACAGGCAUGAGCCACCACGCCUGGCCUGAAUCUCCUCUUAAUGAACUGGAGGCCAGGGGUUAUCACCAUGCAAGCUUUGUCGGAAGAGGACCGGAGGCUCUGGAUGGAAGCCAUGGAUGGCCGGGAACCU